UGUGAAUAGUGUAACAAGAGCGGACGCAAACCUGAGGAAUGCAAACGCAGACCACGAGAAGUGUGAACGAUUAUAGUCCCUAGUGAAACUCGCGAAGCUCGUAGGUCUGAAGAAACGGAAAGAUCAGAGGUCGUAAGUGCAUCCAUUGUCGAGAGUAAAGAGCGAGAUAUGCCAGUGGUAGAGAUAAAGAAGAAGAAAAGAAGGCUACUGUAUUCAGAGACAUGGGUGCGGACACCGUGCUAGUAAGGAGAUGUUUGGUACCUAUGAAAAGCAUCACGGGGCAGAUCAAACCAGUUGUGUUCGCGGACAGCUGGGUGAGAUACCUCCCGGAGGCAAA
This is a long non-coding RNA of Dermacentor silvarum, 337 nucleotides long. RefSeq lists it as uncharacterized. NCBI's taxonomy places the organism in Eukaryota, Metazoa, Arthropoda, Arachnida, Ixodida, Ixodidae. The transcript is spliced from 2 exons. The record is from RefSeq and is a predicted model, not a curated record.